This 28-nucleotide small RNA is filed under the name Bombyx mori (domestic silkworm). RNAcentral's name for it is "ovarian small RNA-27069". The record is from RNAcentral. Lineage: Eukaryota; Metazoa; Arthropoda; Insecta; Lepidoptera; Bombycidae.
UCCAUUAUUCCAUUAAAAAAGGGUGGGA